This 183-nucleotide ribosomal RNA is filed under the name Tyzzerella sp. RNAcentral describes it as "partial 23S ribosomal RNA". It matches the Rfam family "Bacterial large subunit ribosomal RNA", at positions 2740 to 2925 of the family's 2925-position model. Lineage: Bacteria; Bacillati; Bacillota; Clostridia; Lachnospirales; Lachnospiraceae. The record is from RNAcentral.
GCAGAGUAGCCAAGCCGGGACGGGAUAAACGCUGAAGGCAUCUAAGCGUGAAGCCCCCCUCAAGAUGAGAUAUCCCAACGAAAGUUGUAAGACCCCUUGAAGACGACGAGGUAGAUAGGACAGAGGUGGAAGUGCAGUAAUGCAUGUAGCUGACUGUUACUAAUCGGUCGAGGGCAUAACCAA